UACGGAGGGUGCAAGCGUUAUCCGGAUUCACUGGGCUUAAAGGGUGCGUAGGCGGCUUGUUAAGUAGGGUGUGAAAGCCCCCAGCUCAACUGGGGAACUGCACUCUAUACUGGCGAGCUAGAGUGAGAUAGGGGUGUGUGGAACUGCCAGUGGAGCGGUGAAAUGUGUUGAUAUUGGCAGGAACGCCGGUGGCGAAAGCGACACACUGGGUCUCAACUGACGCUGAGGCACGAAAGCCAGGGGAGCGAACGGG
Molecule: ribosomal RNA, 253 nt
Filed under: uncultured bacterium
Lineage: Bacteria
Description: partial 16S ribosomal RNA
Rfam family: Bacterial small subunit ribosomal RNA
Source: RNAcentral